UACGUAGGGGUGCAAGCGUUGUCCGGAAUUACUGGGCGUAAAGAGUUCGUAGGCGGUUUGUCACGUCGUUUGUGAAAACUCAACAGCCGUCAACCUGUGAGCCUGCAGGCGAUACGGGCAGACUUGAGUACUGCAGGGGAGGACUGGAAUUCCUGGUGUAGCGGUAGAAAUGCGCAGAUAUCAGGAGGAACACCGGUGGCGAAGGCGGGUCUCUGGG
RNAcentral lists this ribosomal RNA (217 nucleotides) under uncultured bacterium. Its description in RNAcentral is "partial 16S ribosomal RNA". It matches the Rfam family "Bacterial small subunit ribosomal RNA", at positions 524 to 733 of the family's 1533-position model. The record is from RNAcentral.